This 866-nucleotide ribosomal RNA is filed under the name uncultured bacterium. RNAcentral describes it as "bacterial SSU rRNA". It matches the Rfam family "Bacterial small subunit ribosomal RNA", at positions 28 to 897 of the family's 1533-position model. The record is from RNAcentral.
GACGAACGCUGGCGGCGUGCCUAACACAUGCAAGUCGAGCGGAGAUAUAACGAAGUGUAAUCAGAGAUAUAUCUUAGCGGCGGACGGGUGAGUAACGCGUGGGCAACCUGCCUCUAACUGGGGGAUAACACAGGGAAACUUGUGCUAAUACCGCAUAACAUCAUGAAAUGACAUCAUUUUAUGAUCAAAGGAGCAAUCCGGUAAGAGAUGGGCCCGCGUCCAAUUAGCUGGUUGGUGGUGUAACGGACCACCAAGGCGACGAUUGGUAGCCGAACUGAGAGGUUGAUCGGCCACAUUGGGACUGAGAUACGGCCCAGACUCCUACGGGAGGCAGCAGUGGGGAAUAUUGCGCAAUGGGGGAAACCCUGACGCAGCAACGCCGCGUGAAGGAUGAAGGUUUUCGGAUCGUAAACUUCUUUGAUGAGGGACGAAAAAAAUGACGGUACCUCAAAAACAAGCCACGGCUAACUACGUGCCAGCAGCCGCGGUAAUACGUAGGUGGCGAGCGUUGUCCGGAAUUACUGGGUGUAAAGGGCGUGUAGGCGGGAAUGUAAGUCAGAUGUGAAAUACCGAGGCUUAACCACGGGGCUGCAUCUGAAACUAUGUUUCUUGAGUGUCGGAGAGGAAAGUGGAAUUCCCAGUGUAGCGGUGAAAUGCGUAGAUAUUGGGAGGAACACCAGUGGCGAAGGCGACUUUCUGGACGAUAACUGACGCUGAGGCGCGAAAGCGUGGGGAGCAAACAGGAUUAGAUACCCUGGUAGUCCACGCCGUAAACGAUGGAUACUAGGUGUAGGAGGUAUCGACCCCUUCUGUGCCGGAGUUAACACAAUAAGUAUCCCACCUGGGGAGUACGGCCGCAAGGUUGA